CGCUGGCGGCGUGCCUAAUACAUGCAAGUCGAACGCGCAGCGAAGAGUGCUUGCACUCUUCAAGCGAGUGGCGAACGGGUGAGUAACACGUGAAUAACCUACCGAAAAGCAGGGGAUAACAUUUGGAAACAGAUGCUAAUACCGUAUAAAACGUGCUGUCGCAUGACAAAACGUUAAAAGGUCCGUUUGGACCACUUUUUUGAUGGAUUCGCGGUGCAUUAGUUUAGUUGGGUGGGGUAAAGGCCUACCAAGACGAUGAUGCAUAGCCGAGUUGAGAGACUGACCGGCCACAUUGGGACUGAGACACGGCCCAAACUCCUACGGGAGGCUGCAGUAGGGAAUCUUCCACAAUGGGCGAAAGCCUGAUGGAGCAACGCCGCGUGUGUGAUGAAGGCUUUCGGGUCGUAAAGCACUGUUGUAUGGGAAGAACGGUAAGGGUAGGAAAUGAUCUUUACAUGACGGUACCAUACCAGAAA
This 476-nucleotide ribosomal RNA is filed under the name Fructobacillus tropaeoli. RNAcentral's name for it is "bacterial SSU rRNA". It matches the Rfam family "Bacterial small subunit ribosomal RNA", at positions 34 to 489 of the family's 1533-position model. Lineage: Bacteria; Bacillati; Bacillota; Bacilli; Lactobacillales; Lactobacillaceae. The record is from RNAcentral.